GCCUACACAUGCAGUCGAGCGGUAGAGAGAAGCUUGCUUCUCUUGAGAGCGGCGGACGGGUGAGUAAUGCCUAGGAAUCUGCCUGGUAGUGGGGGAUAACGUUCGGAAACGGACGCUAAUACCGCAUACGUCCUACGGGAGAAAGCAGGGGACCUUCGGGCCUUGCGCUAUCAGAUGAGCCUAGGUCGGAUUAGCUAGUUGGUGGGGUAAUGGCUCACCAAGGCGACGAUCCGUAACUGGUCUGAGAGGAUGAUCAGUCACACUGGAACUGAGACACGGUCCACACUCCUACGGGAGGCAGCAGUGGGGAAUAUUGGACAAUGGGCGAAAGCCUGAUCCAGCCAUGCCGCGUGUGUGAAGAAGGUCUUCGGAUUGUAAAGCACUUUAAGUUGGGAGGAAGGGCCAUUACCUAAUACGUGAUGGUUUUGACGUUACCGACAGAAUAAGCACCGGCUAACUCUGUGCCAGCAGCCGCGGUAAUACAGAGGGUGCAAGCGUUAAUCGGAAUUACUGGGCGUAAAGCGCGCGUAGGUGGUUUGUUAAGUUGGAUGUGAAAUCCCCGGGCUCAACCUGGGAACUGCAUUCAAAACUGACUGACUAGAGUAUGGUAGAGGGUGGUGGAAUUUCCUGUGUAGCGGUGAAAUGCGUA
This 649-nucleotide ribosomal RNA is filed under the name Pseudomonas rhodesiae. RNAcentral describes it as "bacterial SSU rRNA". It matches the Rfam family "Bacterial small subunit ribosomal RNA", at positions 46 to 692 of the family's 1533-position model. Lineage: Bacteria; Pseudomonadati; Pseudomonadota; Gammaproteobacteria; Pseudomonadales; Pseudomonadaceae. The record is from RNAcentral.